This is a long non-coding RNA of Rhododendron vialii, 875 nucleotides long. RefSeq lists it as uncharacterized. The transcript is spliced from 2 exons. The record is from RefSeq and is a predicted model, not a curated record. NCBI's taxonomy places the organism in Eukaryota, Viridiplantae, Streptophyta, Magnoliopsida, Ericales, Ericaceae.
AGUCUUUUCGUUCCAAUUCUCUCUCUGGUAUCUCUCACGCACACAUAGAGGAAGAGGGAGAGAGGGUUUAACAGUUCAAUCGAGAAUGGUGACUGCUCGCAUCUCCUCCGCCGCUCCUCUUCGCCGCCGACCUCCACCGUCCCUCUCCGGAGACCACGUCCGCGGCUACGCGACUUAAAAGACGUCAUUGUCUCUCAAUGUUCCAUAUCCUCAUUGAUCUUAGUGAAAACCCUGACUGGCAAGACGAUCAAAUUGAAUCGAGUGAUAUCAUCGACAAUAUCAAGGCCAAGGCUUAGCACCAUGCUGAUUCGCGUUUUGUUCGUCCGUUGGAUUUAGGAAAGGCAUCCCUCUCAUGCUGGUGCAAAUGGAGGGCUUUUACUAUGCCAUCACUGCCAGAGGCUGAAGGACAAUUGCUGGUGUAGCAAAGCAUUGAGGGAAUAACCACCUGACUUAUAAAUUAAAGCUUAUAGGAGUAAUAAUUAUGAGCGUGACUACAAGGAUAUAUUGGGUCUUGGUGACAAUUUAAGGCAGACUUUGAAGAGCGACUUGGUGGCUUGGCUGGAUGCUGUUGUGUACAAUUCAUUUGUGCGCUAUAGCACUAUGGGUAUGCCUUUUAUAACUUCAAUAUUGUCGAUUCGUAAAAUUUAAAAUUUUGCCUUCGCCUUGCUGCUAAUGCAGAGAAUGAGAGCAUUAUUUUGGUACAUUUGAGCAUUAUUUUUCAUAGUUCAUAAGUUCAAAAGCCAGAGUUUUGUAUGGUAUGAUAUCUCUUUUGUGUAAGAUUGUUGGGUCCUUGAUAACUUCCAAAGUCAUGUAUGGCUUUGUAUAGCUUUGGGUUUUUAGAACUGUUAAAUUUUAUCUUAUAUCUUGUAGUCUCA